AACGUAGGAGACAAACGUUAUCCGGAGUUACUGGGCGUAAAGGGCGUGUAGGUGGUUGCGUAAGUCUGGCGUGAAAUUUUUCGGCUUAACCGGGAAAGGUCGUCGGAUACUGCGUAGCUAGAGGACGGUAGAGGCGUGUGGAAUUCCGGGUGUAGUGGUGAAAUGCGUAGAGAUCCGGAGGAACACCAGUGGCGAAGGCGACACGCUGGGCCGUACCUGACGCUGAGGCGCGAAAGCGUGGGUAGUAAACAGG
RNAcentral lists this ribosomal RNA (253 nucleotides) under uncultured bacterium. RNAcentral's name for it is "partial 16S ribosomal RNA". It matches the Rfam family "Bacterial small subunit ribosomal RNA", at positions 524 to 776 of the family's 1533-position model. The record is from RNAcentral.